AGAGUUUGAUCAUGGCUCAGAUUGAACGCUGGCGGCAUGCCUUACACAUGCAAGUCGAACGGUAACAGGUCUUCGGAUGCUGACGAGUGGCGAACGGGUGAGUAAUACAUCGGAACGUGCCCAAUCGUGGGGGAUAACACAUCGAAAGAUGUGCUAAUACCGCAUAAGAUCUACGGAUGAAAGCGGGGGAUCGCAAGACCUCGCGCGAAUGGAGCGGCCGAUGGCAGAUUAGGUAGUUGGUAGGGUAAAAGCCUACCAAGCCGACGAUCUGUAGCUGGUCUGAGAGGACGACCAGCCACACUGGGACUGAGACACGGCCCAGACUCCUACGGGAGGCAGCAGUGGGGAAUUUUGGACAAUGGGCGCAAGCCUGAUCCAGCAAUGCCGCGUGCAGGAUGAAGGCCUUCGGGUUGUAAACUGCUUUUGUACGGAGCGAAAAGGUUUUCUCUAAUACAGAAGGCCCAUGACGGUACCGUAAGAAUAAGCACCGGCUAACUACGUGCCAGCAGCCGCGGUAAUACGUAGGGUGCAAGCGUUAAUCGGAAUUACUGGGCGUAAAGCGUGCGCAGGCGGUGUUGUAAGACAGAGGUGAAAUCCCCGGGCUCAACCUGGGAACUGCCUUUGUGACUGCAACGCUAGAGUACGGCAGAGGGGGAUGGAAUUCCGCGUGUAGCAGUGAAAUGCGUAGAUAUGCGGAGGAACACCGAUGGCGAAGGCAAUCCCCUGGGCCUGUACUGACGCUCAUGCGCGAAAGCGUGGGGAGCAAACAGGAUUAGAUACCCCGGUAGU
RNAcentral lists this ribosomal RNA (789 nucleotides) under uncultured bacterium. RNAcentral's name for it is "bacterial SSU rRNA". It matches the Rfam family "Bacterial small subunit ribosomal RNA", at positions 8 to 794 of the family's 1533-position model. The record is from RNAcentral.